UAGAGAGAGAGAGAGAGAGAGAGAGAGAGAGAGAGAUAGAGCUCGUGUGGAUUCAGAUAAACCAACUGCUUCAGAGGAAGAGAGAGAGAGAGAGAGAGAGUGAGAGACGCGUGGAGCAAGCAACAGAGCGAGGCGUCUCUAGAUCAUGGUGACAUUGGGAGAUGGCUCAUACGGGGAACGAGAAGAAGAACAGAGAGUUCUAGAGAGAGAAAGCGUGGUGUUGUGGAGAGAGAGAGAGAGAGAGAGAGAGAGAGAGAGAGAGAGAGUGAUGGACAGAGAGAUAUGGAAAGAAAGGGAUGGUAACAGCUCAACACGUCUUCGAUUUGGAUUCCGAAAUUGAAUUACAAAAGAGAUGGGGAAAAAAAAAAAAACCUUUCUCCCAACAUCAAACAGAAAUUUCUCCGAAGGAAACACGUUGUCUCAGU
Rhodamnia argentea is the source of this 425-nucleotide long non-coding RNA. RefSeq lists it as uncharacterized. The transcript is spliced from 3 exons. The record is from RefSeq and is a predicted model, not a curated record. Lineage: Eukaryota; Viridiplantae; Streptophyta; Magnoliopsida; Myrtales; Myrtaceae.